This 660-nucleotide ribosomal RNA is filed under the name uncultured marine eukaryote. RNAcentral's name for it is "SSU rRNA". It matches the Rfam family "Eukaryotic small subunit ribosomal RNA", at positions 451 to 1116 of the family's 1831-position model. The record is from RNAcentral.
CUGACACAGGGAGGUAGUAACAAUAAAUAACAAUGCCGGGCCUUUCUAGGUCUGGCUUUUGGAAUGAGAACAAUUUAAAUCCAUUAUCGAGGAUCAAUUGGAGGGCAAGUCUGGUGCCAGCAGCCGCGGUAAUUCCAGCUCCAAUAGCGUAUAUUAAAGUUGUUGCAGUUAAAAAGCUCGUAGUUGAAUUUCUGGCUGGAAGGGAGCGGUCCCGCAUCUUUGCGGGUACUUGCUCGUCUUCUGCCAUCCUUGGGCUUAGUCUCGCUGAUAUUAACUUAUCGGCGUGUACGAUGCCCAUCGUUUACUGUGAGCAAAUUAGAGUGUUCAAAGCAGGCUUAUGCCGUUGAAUAUAUUAGCAUGGAAUAAUAAGAUAGGACCUAGUGACUAUUUUGUUGGUUUGCGUUAUUAGGUAAUGAUUAAGAGGGACAGUUGUGGGUAUUCGUAUUCAGGUGUAAGAGGUGAAAUUCUUAGAUUAUCGGAAGACGAACGACUGCGAAAGCAUUUACCAAGGAUGUUUUCAUUAAUCAAGAACGAAAGUAUGGGGAUCGAAGAUGAUUAGAUACCAUCGUAGUCUAUACCAUAAACUAUGCCGACUCAGGAUCCGCGGGUGCAUUCUUGCCUCGUGGGCACUGUAUGAGAAAUCAAAGUCUUUGGGUUCCA